RNAcentral lists this long non-coding RNA (1045 nucleotides) under Danio rerio (zebrafish). RNAcentral's name for it is "lncRNA (ENSDARG00000117827.1)". The record is from RNAcentral. Lineage: Eukaryota; Metazoa; Chordata; Actinopteri; Cypriniformes; Danionidae.
CACAAUAAUAUAAACAAAGAUUAAACUGCUAAACUAACUUAGACUUGUCAUAUAUUGCUGCUCUCUGGUGAUUUUAAGUGCUUCUUUUAUUCUUAUUAAGUUGCUUUGGAUAAAAAUAAUGUCUGCUAAAUGAAUAAAUGGGAAUAUAAAAUAAACCUGAAAAAGCCUACAUGAAAAUUCUUUCACUGAGCCAUAUUUUCACAGAGCUUUCGCGAUGAGGGUUCAACUGACUUCACUUCACACUUAUGUUUAACAGCUUCAUACAGUAUAUCCUCACAUCAGCAAACCCACAGAGAAAAGGCAGUUGUCGGAGUGCACUGAUACUUUAAAAUACAAAUAACAGAAAAUAACAAUUGCCAAGCAAUGUAUCUCACCAUUAUCAUUGGAUCCUUCAUGAUUCUCUUAGCUGCUGCUGCUGAGAGACAAUUUGAGAUGAAACAAGCCGUCACCAUUCAGGACAACAAGAAAGAUGUGUGCAAUCCUUCCAAGGAUGCCAUAAAAUGCUGUAUAUGUUUGGAAGCCAUAAACCAAUAUUUACCCCAGAUAAUUGCUCAGGUUAACCAGAAAAUCAGAGCUGCAUGCAAUGUCAACAGGUUUCUGAGGAAACUAUGUUUAAAGAUCGCCACAAAGAUAAAAAUGAAAGUUUUAAGAAAAUUUUUCCCAAGAGGUCCUCUACAAUUCUGCAAGAGGUAUAAAAUGUGCAAGUAAAAGACAACUGUAAACAGUCCAUUAAAACAUCAACUCUUUAAGUAGGAUUGUUUACUUGUUUGUUUUGGUAAAAGCAUGAGAUGAAAAUGCCUCCCCUGGUUUCUGUAAACUUCAUUAUACACUGGACAAAUCCUUAGAUCAGAAAAUGCAUUCAGUCAAAAAUGCUUUUAAAAUGUUCUGAAAGAUGUAUGUUUAUCAUGUUUUGGAAGAUUUUGUUUUUGUUGUUUCUCAUUUACUGCUCAUUAAAAAUCUAAUCAUUUUUAUGUGAAGACAUUUGUUUCUGUCAAUAAAGUUGUCAUAUCUCCCUUAAAAAUAAAAACUCUGCCAUAAUGUACUC